ACAACGCUGGCGGCAGGCUCAUACCUGCAGUUCAGCGGUCUUCGGGACAGCGGCGAACGGGUUAGUAACGCGUGGGAACGUGCCCUUUAUACGGAAUAGCCAUUGGAAACGAUGAUUAAUACCGUAUACGCCCCAAGGGGGAAAGAUUUAUCGCUAAAGGAUCGGCCCGCGUUAGAUUAGGUAGCUUGGUAGGGUAACGGCUACCAAGCCGACGAUCUAUAGCUGGUUUGAGAGGAUGAUCAGCAACACUGGGACUGAGACACGGCCCAGACUUCUACGGAAGGCAGCAGUAGGGAAUCUUGGACAAUGGGCGAAAGCCUGAUCCAGCCAUGCCGCGUGAGUGAUGAAGGCCCUAGGGUUGUAAAGCUCUUUCGCCAGGGAAGAUAAUGACGGUACCUGGUAAAGAAACCCCGGCUAACUCCGUGCCAGCAGCCGCGGUAAUACGGAGCGGGGUUAGCGUUGUUCGGAAUUACUGGGCGUACAAGCGCACGUAGGCGGAUUAACUAAGUCAGGGGUGAAAUCCCGAGGCUCAACCUCGGAACUGCCUUUGAUACUGUUAGUCUUGAGUACGACAGAGCGUGAGUGGAAUUCCGAGUGUAGAGGUGAAAUUCGUAGAUAUUCGGAGGAACACCAGUGGCGAAGGCGGCUUCACUGGCUCGGAUACUGACGCUGAGGUGC
Molecule: ribosomal RNA, 678 nt
Filed under: uncultured bacterium
Lineage: Bacteria
Description: bacterial SSU rRNA
Rfam family: Bacterial small subunit ribosomal RNA
Source: RNAcentral